GCGAAGGUGGCGGAACUGGCAGACGCGCACGUUUGAGGUGCGUGUGGUUUAUCCUUGGGGGUUCAAAUCCCCUCCUUCGCACUA
RNAcentral lists this transfer RNA (84 nucleotides) under Faecalibacterium prausnitzii. RNAcentral describes it as "tRNA-Leu". It matches the Rfam family "tRNA". Rfam says of the family: Transfer RNA (tRNA) molecules are approximately 80 nucleotides in length. The record is from RNAcentral. RNAcentral also lists the same sequence under 4 other names. Lineage: Bacteria; Bacillati; Bacillota; Clostridia; Eubacteriales; Oscillospiraceae.